AUACGGAGGGUGCAAGCGUUAAUCGGAAUUACUGGGCGUAAAGCGCGCGUAGGCGGUUAUUUAAGUCAGAUGUGAAAUCCCUGGGCUCAACCUAGGAACUGCAUCUGAUACUGGGUAACUAGAGUUUUGGAGAGGUAAGUGGAAUUUCCGGUGUAGCGGUGAAAUGCAUAGAGAUCGGAAGGAACACCAGUGGCGAAGGCGACUUACUGGCCAAAAACUGACGCUGAGGUGCGAAAGCGUGGGUAGCGAACAGGAUUAGAAACCCGAGUAGUCC
This 274-nucleotide ribosomal RNA is filed under the name uncultured bacterium. Its description in RNAcentral is "partial 16S ribosomal RNA". It matches the Rfam family "Bacterial small subunit ribosomal RNA", at positions 523 to 796 of the family's 1533-position model. The record is from RNAcentral.